This 68-nucleotide transfer RNA is filed under the name Pseudomonas shirazensis. It matches the Rfam family "tRNA". Rfam says of the family: Transfer RNA (tRNA) molecules are approximately 80 nucleotides in length. Their secondary structure includes four short double-helical elements and three loops (D, anti-codon, and T loops). Further hydrogen bonds mediate the characteristic L-shaped molecular structure. tRNAs have two regions of fundamental functional importance: the anti-codon, which is responsible for specific mRNA codon recognition, and the 3' end, to which the tRNAs corresponding amino acid is attached (by aminoacyl-tRNA synthetases). tRNAs cope with the degeneracy of the genetic code in two manners: having more than one tRNA (with a specific anti-codon) for a particular amino acid; and 'wobble' base-pairing, i.e. permitting non-standard base-pairing at the 3rd anti-codon position. Lineage: Bacteria; Pseudomonadati; Pseudomonadota; Gammaproteobacteria; Pseudomonadales; Pseudomonadaceae. The record is from RNAcentral. RNAcentral also lists the same sequence under 2 other names.
GCCUAUAGCUCAGUUGGUUAGAGCAGAGGACUCAUAAUCCUUUGGUCCACGGUUCAAGUCCGUGUGGG